AUGGCGGCUGACGUAGAUCUUCAAAGAAGAAGAAGACGACACAGAAGAAGAAGAAGAAGAAGAAGAGUUUGGCUGUUAGCCGACUCUGAUAUCGUAGAGACUGUCGUUACCUCUAACAUGGAGAACAAGACAGAGGUCCAUCCCCAAGAACAAACCUGGUCUCUAGAUGAGGAGCCAGCUAAGCCCGCUGUAAGGAGGACCCGCCAGCGGAAUGCUGUUGCAAUGGGAAAGCGGGGCCAGAAAGGCAAAAAGCGGGGACAGAAAGAUAAGAGGCGGGGUCAGGAGGAGAAGGAGGGUGUGACAGUGAAGAGGACGUGGACCGGUGGGAAGAGGAGGUGGGAUAAGAAACAUUACUGUGUGUUCUGCCGACGGCCGCAAGUGAAGAUCGCACGUCACCUGCUGAGGAAACACGCAGACCAGCAGGAAGUAGAGGCUGCCAGCUCGCUGCCAGCAGGGUCCAAACAGCGCCACCUGCUGUUGGAGCAUCUGCGCUGCAGAGGAAACUACCUGCACAACAUAGAGGUGAUCAGGCAGGGCAGUGGAGAAAUCGUCCCAUGUCGUCAACCCUCUGAGGAAGUUGAUGCUAGGAGCUACCUGCCGUGUCCUCUCUGCCUGGGUUUCUUUCUUCGUGCAGACCUCUGGAAACAUCAGGCCUCCUGUCGUAAGAAGCUGGCCUCUGACAUGUUCAGCGAUCCCCCCUCCACAGUAGAGACCCCCUUGGACUCCAUUAAGUAUCCAAUAUCUGAGUGUACAGGUCUGACAGCCUGUAGCCCCACGGAAGAAACCACUCUAAAGCUGACAGAGGACACACUUCCUGACCCCUCAGUAGACGUUGUCACAUAUCAUGCUGGGGCCACAGAAGCUGGGAGCAAACAGCCCGUGACCUCUGACCUCAGUGGGGAUCUGAAUGUGACUUCUCUGCCUGCAUUGGACCUGCCCAGGAAGCGUACAAGGGUCCAGGCUGAAGCGUCCCGCCUCCUCCCAAUUUCCAGCGGUGCAUCUGAAAGCUGCAGUGAGGUUCUUCACCGCAUGAACCAGGACCACGUUUCGUACCAGGUCAAGUCUGACUGGUUGAUCUGUAAAUUUGGAAACAAGUUGAUGGGAAACCAGGAUGGCAACCAGAGGAGGUACGACUAUGUCAGUCAGAAACUGAGGGAACUCGGUAGGUUCCUCCUGGCUGCUAAAUCCCUGGACUCUCAAAUUCAUAACCUCCAGGAUGUUCUGGCUCCUGGCCAUUUGAGCCUGGCCUUGGCUGCAGCCAGAAAAGCGUCUGGGUACCGGUGGAGCCGCCCUCCUCUGGCAAUGAAGACGACACUGAAGACGGUUUGUGAGAUCGCUAUCGGAGAGAGUCUGCAGGAUGGAGACUGGGAGGGUGCAGCUAGGACCACGGACUUCUACCACAUGCUAGGGAGGGACUGGGACAACCUGGAGCUGCUGUACCCUGACCCCGACAAAGGUAACUGCGUAAGCUCUGAAGCUGUUCCUCGUGAUUUCAUCAUCACAGAGGUCUGGUCUGUACAGUAUCCAACUGCUCAGCUUUGUUUUCCGUUGCUCCAGAAGAAGCCAUUGUGA
Molecule: long non-coding RNA, 1572 nt
Filed under: Betta splendens (Siamese fighting fish)
Lineage: Eukaryota; Metazoa; Chordata; Actinopteri; Anabantiformes; Osphronemidae
Description: lncRNA (ENSBSLG00000003154.1)
Source: RNAcentral